This 725-nucleotide ribosomal RNA is filed under the name uncultured bacterium. Its description in RNAcentral is "bacterial SSU rRNA". It matches the Rfam family "Bacterial small subunit ribosomal RNA", at positions 38 to 758 of the family's 1533-position model. The record is from RNAcentral.
GGCGGCAGGCCUAACACAUGCAAGUCGAGCGGUAGAGAGAAGCUUGCUUCUCUUGAGAGCGGCGGACGGGUGAGUAAUACCUAGGAAUCUGCCUGAUAGUGGGGGAUAACGUUCGGAAACGGACGCUAAUACCGCAUACGUCCUACGGGAGAAAGCAGGGGACCUUCGGGCCUUGCGCUAUCAGAUGAGCCUAGGUCGGAUUAGCUAGUUGGUGAGGUAAUGGCUCACCAAGGCUACGAUCCGUAACUGGUCUGAGAGGAUGAUCAGUCACACUGGAACUGAGACACGGUCCAGACUCCUACGGGAGGCAGUAGUGGGGAAUAUUGGACAAUGGGCGAAAGCCUGAUCCAGCCAUGCCGCGUGUGUGAAGAAGGUCUUCGGAUUGUAAAGCACUUUAAGUUGGGAGGAAGGGCAGUUACCUAAUACGUGAUUGUCUUGACGUUACCGACAGAAUAAGCACCGGCUAACUCAGUGCCAGCAGCCGCGGUAAUACAGAGGGUGCAAGCGUUAAUCGGAAUUACUGGGCGUAAAGCGCGCGUAGGUGGUUUGUUAAGUUGAAUGUGAAAUCCCCGGGCUCAACCUGGGAACUGCAUCCAAAACUGGCAAGCUAGAGUAUGGUAGAGGGUAGUGGAAUUUCCUGUGUAGCGGUGAAAUGCGUAGAUAUAGGAAGGAACACCAGUGGCGAAGGCGACUACCUGGACUGAUACUGACACUGAGGUGCGAAA